RNAcentral lists this ribosomal RNA (492 nucleotides) under uncultured bacterium. RNAcentral describes it as "partial 16S ribosomal RNA". It matches the Rfam family "Bacterial small subunit ribosomal RNA", at positions 29 to 507 of the family's 1533-position model. The record is from RNAcentral.
AGUGAACGCUGGCGGUAGGCCUAACACAUGCAAGUCGAACGGCAGCACAGUAAGAGCUUGCUCUUACGGGUGGCGAGUGGCGGACGGGUGAGGAAUACAUCGGAAUCUACUUUUUCGUGGGGGAUAACGUAGGGAAACUUACGCUAAUACCGCAUACGACCUACGGGUGAAAGCAGGGGAUCUUCGGACCUUGCGCGAUUGAAUGAGCCGAUGUCGGAUUAGCUAGUUGGCGGGGUAAAGGCCCACCAAGGCGACGAUCCGUAGCUGGUGUGAGAGGAUGAUCAGCCACACUGGAACUGGGACACGGUCCAGACUCCUACGGGAGGCAGCAGUGGGGAAUAUUGGACAAUGGGCGCAAGCCUGAUCCAGCCAUACCGCGUGGGUGAAGAAGGCGUUCGGGUUGUAAAGCCCUUUUGUUGGGAAAGAAAAGCAGCAGGUUAAUACCCCGCUGUUCUGACGGUACCCAAAGAAUAAGCACCGGCUAACUUCGUG